This 497-nucleotide ribosomal RNA is filed under the name uncultured bacterium. RNAcentral describes it as "partial 16S ribosomal RNA". It matches the Rfam family "Bacterial small subunit ribosomal RNA", at positions 28 to 507 of the family's 1533-position model. The record is from RNAcentral.
GAUGAACGCUGGCGGCGUGCCUAAUACAUGCAAGUCGAGCGAACAGACGAGGCGCUUGCUCCUCUGAAGUUAGCGGCGGACGGGUGAGUAACACGUGGAUAACCUACCUAUAAGACUGGGAUAACUUCGGGAAACCGGAGCUAAUACCGGAUAAUAUAUUGAACCGCAUGGUUCAAUAGUGAAAGACGGUUUUGCUGUGACUUAUAGAUGGAUCCGUGUCGCAUUAGCUAGUUGGUACGGUAACGGCUUACCAAGGCGACGAUGCGUAGCCGACCUGAGAGGGUGAUCGGCCACACUGGAACUGAGACACGGUCCAGACUCCUACGGGAGGCAGCAAUAGGGAAUCUUCCGCGAUGGGCGAAAGCCUGACGGAGCGACGCCGCGUGGGUGAUGAGGGUCUUCGGGUCGUAAGACUCUGUUAUUGGUGAAGAACAAAUGUGUAAGUAACUAUGCACGUCGUGACGGUACCUAGUCAGAAAGCCACGGCUAACUACGUG